UGAGGAAUAUUGGGCAAUGGGCGCAAGCCUGACCCAGCAAUACCGCGUGUGUGAAGAAGGCCUGAGGGUUGUAAAGCACUUUCAAUGGGGAGGAAAAAGGCAAGUUUAAUACGCUUGCCCUUGACAUUACCCAUACAAGAAGCACCGGCUAACUCCGUGCCAGCAGCCGCGGUAAUACGGAGGGUGCGAGCGUUAAUCGGAAUUACUGGGCGUAAAGCGUGCGUAGGCGGCCUGCCAAGUCAGAUGUGAAAGCCCUGGGCUCAACCUGGGAACGGCAUUUGAAACUGGCAGGCUCGAGUUGGGUAGAGGCAGGCGGAAUUCCGGGUGUAGCGGUGAAAUGCGUAGAUAUCCGGAGGAACACCAGUGGCGAAGGCGGCCUGCUGGGCCCAAACUGACGCUGAGGCACGAAAGCGUGGGUAGCAAACAGGGAUUAGAUACCCAGGUAGUCCCUGAGCGGGCUGGCAAGGCGCAU
This 472-nucleotide ribosomal RNA is filed under the name uncultured bacterium. Its description in RNAcentral is "bacterial SSU rRNA". It matches the Rfam family "Bacterial small subunit ribosomal RNA", at positions 355 to 825 of the family's 1533-position model. The record is from RNAcentral.